Molecule: ribosomal RNA, 389 nt
Filed under: uncultured bacterium
Lineage: Bacteria
Description: bacterial SSU rRNA
Rfam family: Bacterial small subunit ribosomal RNA
Source: RNAcentral
AUUGAACGCUGGCGGCAUGCCUUACACAUGCAAGUCGAACGGCAGCACGGGAGCAAUCCUGGUGGCGAGUGGCGAACGGGUGAGUAAUAUAUCGGAACGUGCCCGGUCGUGGGGGAUAACGUAGCGAAAGCUACGCUAAUACCGCAUACGAUCUACGGAUGAAAGCGGGGGAUCGCAAGACCUCGCGCGAUUGGAGCGGCCGAUAUCAGAUUAGGUAGUUGGUGAGGUAAAGGACUCACCAAGCCGACGAUCUGUAGCUGGUCUGAGAGGACGACCAGCCACACUGGGACUGAGACACGGCCCAGACUCCUACGGGAGGCAGCAGUGGGGAAUUUUGGACAAUGGGCGCAAGCCUGAUCCAGCAAUGCCGCGUGCAGGAUGAAGGCCUC